CAGGAUGCAUUGCUCAGGUGUGCCCAGUACGUCGUGGAUUUUGGCAAUCUGGUCCAGCUCGUUGGCACCGGGGAAGAGAGGAUUCAAGCUGAAACACAAGAGGUGGGCGGUGACCGCUAGCUCCCCUGCCUUGUCACCAGCCUCCUGGCUCCGGUUGCUCCAGUCGCUGUUCGCCGCCGUCUUGCACGCAUUCCGAAGGUUUGCCCUGUUUUUAACGCCAAUGAGCCAGUUGGAGUAGUGCAUCAUGAGUGCACACGGAUUUCCGAAGAGUGGAGCAUGAGUUUGAUGCUUUACGAAUGUCAGCGAAUGAGAGGCGCGCUAGUGAAUCGUCGCUGUCGCUAUCGUUCUAUCCAUUCGUGGACUGUUGAGACAUUACUGCUGCACGUCGGCUUCCGUAGUAAUGUGGCUAAUUCUGGCCCAUGAAAUAAUAUGUGCGUGGCUCAAUGAAAAUCGUUUGUUGACUGUAAUUUGUAACAUUUGCUACUACCUAAUCCAGGGAUGGGCAAUUAAAAUGAUGGAUGGGGCCACAAUUUUACAUCAGUAU
This is a long non-coding RNA of Hippocampus zosterae (dwarf seahorse), 544 nucleotides long. RefSeq lists it as uncharacterized. The record is from RefSeq and is a predicted model, not a curated record. NCBI's taxonomy places the organism in Eukaryota, Metazoa, Chordata, Actinopteri, Syngnathiformes, Syngnathidae. The transcript is spliced from 2 exons.